This 291-nucleotide unclassified non-coding RNA is filed under the name Hevea brasiliensis (rubber tree). The record is from RNAcentral. Lineage: Eukaryota; Viridiplantae; Streptophyta; Magnoliopsida; Malpighiales; Euphorbiaceae.
GCAAAAGAAAGAAAUUGAUUCUCGAGCUCAAUUUCACGAGCGAGAUUCAUGAUUUGGAAUAUAUGAACUGAAUCUUGAGAAUGAAUUCGUACCCAAAUAUCAUCUCUUAAGCCACUUGAAAAAAAUCCAAAUACUGUUGGUUUGUUAAAACCUCAACCUGAGCUGGAAGAGCAAUAAAAGCAUCAAUAUAUUCAACAACAGAUUUAUCUUGAGUAAUAGUGGCCAAACAUUCAAAGAGAUUAACACGCAUGUCACCCUCAAAUCGCUAAAGUAAUUCAAUUGUGAGCUGAG